AUAUUUAUUGUCUCAUUAAUGAAGGAGAAUCGAAAGAAAAUUUCAAACGCAUCAUGCUAAAAACAUGUUGCAAGACUGCAGAAAUAUAUGACAUAAACUUAAUAUAUUUGGAAAAUGACAAGAGAAAAGAAAUUGAAGAUACAUUGUAUGAAAUUAAUGAAGAUGAUGCUGCAGAGAGCA
This is a long non-coding RNA of Amphimedon queenslandica, 180 nucleotides long. RefSeq lists it as uncharacterized. Lineage: Eukaryota; Metazoa; Porifera; Demospongiae; Haplosclerida; Niphatidae. The transcript has 4 exons. The record is from RefSeq and is a predicted model, not a curated record.